UGAUGAUCACGAUGCAGAAGCAUCCCCCAG
Molecule: non-coding RNA, 30 nt
Filed under: Mus musculus (house mouse)
Lineage: Eukaryota; Metazoa; Chordata; Mammalia; Rodentia; Muridae
Source: RNAcentral